Molecule: ribosomal RNA, 559 nt
Filed under: Candida tropicalis
Lineage: Eukaryota; Fungi; Ascomycota; Pichiomycetes; Serinales; Debaryomycetaceae
Description: LSU rRNA
Rfam family: Eukaryotic large subunit ribosomal RNA
Source: RNAcentral
UAAGACUACAGGGAUUGCCUUAGUAGCGGCGAGUGAAGCGGCAAAAGCUCAAAUUUGAAAUCUGGUCUCUUUCAGAGUCCGAGUUGUAAUUUGAAGAAGGUAUCUUUGGGUCUGGCUCUUGUCUAUGUUUCUUGGAACAGAACGUCACAGAGGGUGAGAAUCCCGUGCGAUGAGAUGAUCCAGGCCUAUGUAAAGUUCCUUCGAAGAGUCGAGUUGUUUGGGAAUGCAGCUCUAAGUGGGUGGUAAAUUCCAUCUAAAGCUAAAUAUUGGCGAGAGACCGAUAGCGAACAAGUACAGUGAUGGAAAGAUGAAAAGAACUUUGAAAAGAGAGUGAAAAAGUACGUGAAAUUGUUGAAAGGGAAGGGCUUGAGAUCAGACUUGGUAUUUUGUAUGUUACUUCUUCGGGGGUGGCCUCUACAGUUUAUCGGGCCAGCAUCAGUUUGGGCGGUAGGAGAAUUGCGUUGGAAUGUGGCACGGCUUCGGUUGUGUGUUAUAGCCUUCGUCGAUACUGCCAGCCUAGACUGAGGACUGCGGUUUAUACCUAGGAUGUUGGCAUAAU